GAUGAACGCUAGCUACAGGCUUAACACAUGCAAGUCGAGGGGCAGCAUGAGCUCAGUUAUUCUGGGUUUGAUGGCGACCGGCGCACGGGUGAGUAACGCGUAUCCAACCUGCCCUUUACGCGGGGAUAGCCUUCUGAAAGGAAGUUUAAUACCCGAUGAAUUCGUUUAGUCGCAUGGCUUGAUGAAGAAAGAUUUAUCAGUAAAGGAUGGGGAUGCGUCCCAUUAGCUUGUUGGCGGGGUAACGGCCCACCAAGGCGACGAUGGGUAGCCGACCUGAGAGGGUGAUCGGCCACAUUGGAACUGAGAUACGGUCCAGACUCCUACGGGAGGCAGCAGUGGGGAAUAUUGGGCAAUGGGCGAAAGCCUGACCCAGCAACGCCGCGUGAGGGAAGAAGGGUUUCGGCUCGUAAACCUCUGUCCUAUGGGACGAAGGAAGUGACGGUACCAUAGGAGGAAGCCCCGGCUAACUACGUGCCAGCAGCCGCG
RNAcentral lists this ribosomal RNA (486 nucleotides) under uncultured bacterium. Its description in RNAcentral is "bacterial SSU rRNA". It matches the Rfam family "Bacterial small subunit ribosomal RNA", at positions 28 to 519 of the family's 1533-position model. The record is from RNAcentral.